Molecule: long non-coding RNA, 440 nt
Filed under: Panax ginseng (ginseng)
Lineage: Eukaryota; Viridiplantae; Streptophyta; Magnoliopsida; Apiales; Araliaceae
Description: long non-coding RNA (PGIN_LNC010395)
Source: RNAcentral
UUGCACAGUCAUGAAGAAAAAGAAAAGAAAAGAAAAAUAGCAAUAAACACCGCGAGAAAGUGUGAAAUGCACCCUCGUGAGUAGAAUAAAUCAGUUAAGCCCAUUGUUGAACCAUAGUUUAGUUUAAGAUGUUGAAUUAGUCUGAGUCGCAUAUAUAUACAUAAGUCUUGAUUUAAGCUAUAAUUUUUCUGAUUUGAGCAAGAUAACAUGAACAUUCUACACCGAAAUCAAGUAUUGGGUGAACACAACACACAUACACAGCAUCUGUAUAGCAUUUGUGAAUUAUAUGAGUAUAUGACUUUAUGCCUGCAGCUUGGUUUGAAUCUGUAUUCUCGAAUCUAGAAAAAAAAUUCGCGAAGGCAAAUUAGACUGAAUUUUUAGGAUGGUUGGGACAAUGUGAGAAUUAGUUGCAUAAUAAUAUAGUUGCAUUUUUAUUAUUC